RNAcentral lists this long non-coding RNA (246 nucleotides) under Populus trichocarpa (black cottonwood). RNAcentral's name for it is "long non-coding RNA (PTRI_LNC003694)". Lineage: Eukaryota; Viridiplantae; Streptophyta; Magnoliopsida; Malpighiales; Salicaceae. The record is from RNAcentral.
ACGUUUUCUCCGUCCCCGGUGACUUCAACCUCACCCUUCUCGACCACUUGAUCGCUGAGCCCGAGCUCAACCUUGUUGGUUGCUGUAACGAGCUCAACGCCGGCUACGCUGCGGAUGGAUACGCCCGGUCGCGUGGCGUUGGCGCUUGUGUUGUCACGUUCACUGUUGGGGGACUCAGUGUGCUGAAUGCUAUUGCUGGUGCUUACAGUGAGAAUUUGCCUGUCAUAUGCAUUGUUGGUGGGCCCA